RNAcentral lists this small RNA (441 nucleotides) under Pan troglodytes (chimpanzee). RNAcentral describes it as "processed transcript". The record is from RNAcentral. Lineage: Eukaryota; Metazoa; Chordata; Mammalia; Primates; Hominidae.
UCCCACCCGGUGCCCAGGAUGAGCCCCGAGCCCACCUGUCAGCUUCUGCAUUUCCUUGUGGUUCUUUGCUAGGUCAAGCUGGGCUCCGCGCUAGGGGGCCCCUACCUGGGAGUCCACCUGAGAAGAAAAGAUUUCAUCUGGGGUCACAGACAGGAUGUACCCAGUCUGGAAGGGGCCGUGAGGAAGAUCCGCAGCCUCAUGAAGACCCACCGGCUGGACAAGGUGUUUGUGGCCACAGAUGCCGUCAGAAAGGAAUAUGAAGAGCUAAAAAAGCUGUUACCCGAGAUGGUGAGGUUUGAACCCACGUGGGAGGAGCUGGAGCUCUACAAGGACGGAGGCGUUGCGAUUAUUGACCAGUGGAUCUGCGCACACGCCAGGUGCCUGCCCACGUCACUGUCGGCCGAGAGCGGGUCGGGUGGCUUUCAAAGGUUCUUCUGUCCC